GAAAUGCGAUAAGUAGUGUGAAUUGCAGAAUUCAGUGAAUCAUCGAAUCUUUGAACGCACAUUGCGCCCCUUGGUAUUCCAUGGGGCAUGCCUGUUCGAGCGUCAUCUACACCCUCAAGCUCUGCUUGGUGUUGGGCGUCUGUCCCGCCCCCGCGCGUUGACUCGCCCCAAAUCCAUUGGCAGCGUUCCUUGCCCCCUCUCGCGCAGCACAUUGCGCUUCUCGAGGGCGGCUCCGGGACGCGAUCCAGCAAGAUGACCACCGUCUUUGACCUCGGAUCAGGUAGGGAUACCCGCUGAACUUAAGC
Molecule: unclassified non-coding RNA, 305 nt
Filed under: plant metagenome
Description: partial contains 5.8S ribosomal RNA, internal transcribed spacer 2, and large subunit ribosomal RNA
Rfam family: 5.8S ribosomal RNA (bases 1-105)
Source: RNAcentral